Molecule: non-coding RNA, 135 nt
Organism: Triticum aestivum (bread wheat)
Lineage: Eukaryota; Viridiplantae; Streptophyta; Magnoliopsida; Poales; Poaceae
Source: Rfam
CAUGUACUCCCUCCGUCCCAAAAUACUUGUCAUUAAAAUAAAUAUAAGGAAAUGUAUCUAGAUGUAUAUUAGUUCUAGAUACAUCCCAUUUUAUCUAUUUUGAUGACAAGUGUUUUCGGACGGAGGGAGUAUACA